RNAcentral lists this non-coding RNA (46 nucleotides) under Schistosoma curassoni. Lineage: Eukaryota; Metazoa; Platyhelminthes; Trematoda; Strigeidida; Schistosomatidae. The record is from RNAcentral.
ACACUGCUGAAGAGUCGCACAAUAGGAUCAAACGACCGUCCAGUGU